AGAGUUUGAUCAUGGCUCAGAACGAACGCUGGCGGCAGGCUUAACACAUGCAAGUCGAACGGUCUCUUCGGAGGCAGUGGCAGACGGGUGAGUAACGCGUGGGAAUCUACCUAGUUCUACGGAACAACAGAGGGAAACUUCUGCUAAUACCGUAUACGCCCUAAGGGGGAAAGAUUUAUCGGAAUUAGAUGAGCCCGCGUAAGAUUAGCUAGUUGGUGGGGUAAUGGCCUACCAAGGCGACGAUCUUUAGCUGGUCUGAGAGGAUGAUCAGCCACACUGGGACUGAGACACGGCCCAGACUCCUACGGGAGGCAGCAGUGGGGAAUAUUGGACAAUGGGCGAAAGCCUGAUCCAGCCAUGCCGCGUGAGUGAUGAAGGCCUUAGGGUUGUAAAGCUCUUUCAGUAGGGAAGAUAAUGACGGUACCUACAGAAGAAGCCCCGGCUAACUUCGUGCCAGCAGCCGCGGUAAUACGAAGGGGGCUAGCGUUGUUCGGAUUUACUGGGCGUAAAGCGCACGUAGGCGGAUUGUUAAGUCAGGGGUGAAAUCCUGGAGCUCAACUCCAGAACUGCCUUUGAUACUGGCAAUCUAGAGUCCGGAAGAGGUGAGUGGAACUCCUAGUGUAGAGGUGGAAUUCGUAGAUAUUAGGAAGAACACCAGUGGCGAAGGCGGCUCACUGGUCCGGUACUGACGCUGAGGUGCGAAAGCGUGGGGAGCAAACAGGAUUAGAUACCCUAGUAGUCC
RNAcentral lists this ribosomal RNA (742 nucleotides) under uncultured bacterium. RNAcentral's name for it is "bacterial SSU rRNA". It matches the Rfam family "Bacterial small subunit ribosomal RNA", at positions 8 to 796 of the family's 1533-position model. The record is from RNAcentral.